This 141-nucleotide ribosomal RNA is filed under the name uncultured eukaryote. RNAcentral describes it as "partial 18S ribosomal RNA". It matches the Rfam family "Eukaryotic small subunit ribosomal RNA", at positions 1299 to 1458 of the family's 1831-position model. The record is from RNAcentral.
UGGUGGAGUGAUUUGUCUGGUUAAUUCCGUUAACGAACGAGACCUCGACCUGCUAAAUAGACUUGAUAUAUCUUUGAUAUGUCAAGAUACUUCUUAGAGGGACUAUCGGUGAAUAGCCGAUGGAAGUUCGAGGCAAUAACA